Molecule: ribosomal RNA, 882 nt
Filed under: uncultured Verrucomicrobiae bacterium
Lineage: Bacteria; Pseudomonadati; Verrucomicrobiota; Verrucomicrobiia
Description: bacterial SSU rRNA
Rfam family: Bacterial small subunit ribosomal RNA
Source: RNAcentral
CAAGUCGAACGAGGUUAAUUCGGUAGCAAUACUGGGUUAACCUAGUGGCGAACGGGUGCGUAACACGUGACCAACCUGCCUAGAAGUGGGGGAUAGCUCGGCGAAAGCCGGAUUAAUACCGCAUGUGAUCGUAAGAUCAAAGCAGCAAUGCGCUUUUAGAGGGGGUCGCGGCCUAUCAGCUAGUUGGUGAGGUAACGGCUUACCAAGGCAGCGACGGGUAGCUGGUCUGAGAGGACGACCAGCCACACUGGAACUGAGACACGGUCCAGACACCUACGGGUGGCAGCAGUCGAGAAUUUUUCUCAAUGGGGGAAACCCUGAAGGAGCGACGCCGCGUGGAGGAUGAAGGCUUUCGGGUUGUAAACUCCUGUCAUCUGGGAACAAAACUCGCAAGAGCUUGAUAGUACCAGAAGAGGAAGAGACGGCUAACUCUGUGCCAGCAGCCGCGGUAAUACAGAGGUCUCAAGCGUUGUUCGGAUUCAUUGGGCGUAAAGGGCGCGUAGGCGGCGGGGUAAGUCUGGUGUGAAAUCUCGGAGCUCAACUUCGAAAAUGCACUGGAUACUGCUCUGCUAGAGGGCUGGAGAGGAGAUCGGAAUUCACGGUGUAGCAGUGAAAUGCGUAGAUAUCGUGAGGAAGACCAGUGGCGAAGGCGGAUCUCUGGACAGCUCCUGACGCUGAGGCGCGAAGGCUAGGGGAGCAAACGGGAUUAGAUACCCCGGUAGUCCUAGCAGUAAACGGUGCACGUUUGGUGUGCGCGGAUUCGACCCCGUGCGUGCCGGAGCUAACGCGUUAAACGUGCCGCCUGAGGAGUACGGUCGCAAGAUUAAAACUCAAAGAAAUUGACGGGGGCCCGCACAAGCGGUGGAGUAUGUGGCUUAAUUC